This 550-nucleotide ribosomal RNA is filed under the name Escherichia coli. RNAcentral's name for it is "partial 23S ribosomal RNA". It matches the Rfam family "Bacterial large subunit ribosomal RNA", at positions 2091 to 2640 of the family's 2925-position model. The record is from RNAcentral. Lineage: Bacteria; Pseudomonadati; Pseudomonadota; Gammaproteobacteria; Enterobacterales; Enterobacteriaceae.
CCGUGAACCUUUACUAUAGCUUGACACUGAACAUUGAGCCUUGAUGUGUAGGAUAGGUGGGAGGCUUUGAAGUGUGGACGCCAGUCUGCAUGGAGCCGACCUUGAAAUACCACCCUUUAAUGUUUGAUGUUCUAACGUGGACCCGUAAUCCGGGUUGCGGACAGUGUCUGGUGGGUAGUUUGACUGGGGCGGUCUCCUCCUAAAGAGUAACGGAGGAGCACGAAGGUUGGCUAAUCCUGGUCGGACAUCAGGAGGUUAGUGCAAUGGCAUAAGCCAGCUUGACUGCGAGCGUGACGGCGCGAGCAGGUGCGAAAGCAGGUCAUAGUGAUCCGGUGGUUCUGAAUGGAAGGGCCAUCGCUCAACGGAUAAAAGGUACUCCGGGGAUAACAGGCUGAUACCGCCCAAGAGUUCAUAUCGACGGCGGUGUUUGGCACCUCGAUGUCGGCUCAUCACAUCCUGGGGCUGAAGUAGGUCCCAAGGGUAUGGCUGUUCGCCAUUUAAAGUGGUACGCGAGCUGGGUUUAGAACGUCGUGAGACAGUUCGGUCCCUA